This 1082-nucleotide long non-coding RNA is filed under the name Malus domestica (apple). RNAcentral's name for it is "long non-coding RNA (MDOM_LNC011520)". Lineage: Eukaryota; Viridiplantae; Streptophyta; Magnoliopsida; Rosales; Rosaceae. The record is from RNAcentral.
AUCUUCCCGAAUUAGAUUUCUACGUUAGUAAAAUUAAUUGUUAACUACCACCUAAUUCUAGCAAUUGGUGGAGAUCCGACCAUUUGAUCGCGAUGAGAAUUUAGUAUGUGGUUCUAUGAGCAUAAUGUGGACUUUGGGAUGUUAUGGAUCUGAAAUCUGAUGAACGGAUCUUCCGGAUCGAAUUACGUAGGGUUGUCGACCCUACCGUUGACCGAGAGUUGACUUUUGGUCAACAUGUUUCGAAACAUUAUAAAUAUUAAAUCUAGUACCACAUGAUACUAAGUGAAGCCUAGUGGGACCACAUUGGUUUGAGAGUGACUUGAAUAUAUGUGAUAUAGUUAUUACCUUAAUUUCUUAUAUUGGUAUCAAUUGUGAAUAUGAAUUGGUCUUAUAGAUAUGAUUUCUAUUGAAAUGUGAUUUUUAUAUAUUUAGCCAUCCUAUGCUUAUUAAAUAGGAUUUGGCUUGUGCACUGAUGAAGGUUGUGAUAUAUAUGUGUUUAACUAUCUUUUUAAUAAUGUGAUUGAUAAUUAUGAUGAAUAUUAUGACAAUUAUGGGAUUUAAAAAAAUUGUUUGAUAAUAUUUUGGAUAUGAUUGCCAACUGAAUACCUAUUGAACUUGGCAUUACUACCUAGCAUGAGAUGGAGAUGGAAGUCAGGAGAUGAGUUAGGUACUUUAUUAGAUUUUUAGUAGAAAUAGUAAUUAAGGGAAUUCCUUGUGUUGUGCUCCAUAUGACUAGAUGUUGGUUAAUAUGUGGAAUUGAUAGCGUGUAUUGUAUAAUUAUGUAUAAUGUGUGAUGAUGAGAUUACACCAUGUAGUAGUGGUACAUGGAUGGUCCUGCUUGGUAUAUCCUCGAUGGGGGACCAUACGCAUUCUAGAGGUGAUGAUGAUUAAUUGUACUUGGUACAUUUGAUAGGCGAUGAUAUUUAGUUUGGUUCUGUUGAGUGGUCAGGAACCCGAGGUUGUGGGAUUUCGUGGAGUGGUCUAAAAUCUCAUUAUUUGGAGAAGUAGGCUUGGCCUAACUGUGUUACUCUAGUCUUAAUUUUAUAUAUAUUGUGACAAUGGUUUCGAGAAUCCUGUGAAUU